Molecule: ribosomal RNA, 1927 nt
Filed under: metagenome
Description: bacterial LSU rRNA
Rfam family: Bacterial large subunit ribosomal RNA
Source: RNAcentral
UCAAGUGACUAAGUGCAUGCGGCGGAUGCCUUGGCGAUCACAGGCGAAGAAAGACGCGGCAGCCUGCGAAAAGCUGCGGGGAGCUGGCAAACGAGCUUUGAUCCGCAGAUAUCUGAAUGGGGGAACCCACACCGCAAGGUGUAUCCGUAGCUGAAUACAUAGGUUACGGAGGCGAACGAGGAGAACUGAAACAUCUAAGUAUCCUCAGGAAAAGAAAUCAACCGAGAUUCCGGCAGUAGCGGCGAGCGAACCCGGAGGAGCCCAGCUUUUGAUAGUACGAACUUUAGCCGAAAGGUCCUGGAAAGGCCUGCUAUAGUGGGUGAUAGCCCCGUAGGCGAAAGAGUUGGUACGGUACUAAGGAAGCGAGAAGUAGAGCGGGACACGUGGAAUCCUGUUCGAAGACGGGGGGACCAUCCUCCAAGGCUAAAUACUCGUGAUCGACCGAUAGUGAACCAGUACCGUGAGGGAAAGGCGAAAAGAACCCCGGGAGGGGAGUGAAAUAGAACCUGAAACCGCAUGCAUACAAACAGUAGGAGCCUUUACGGAGGUGACUGCGUACCUUUUGCAUAAUGGGUCAGCGACUUACAUUCUGUGGCGAGCUUAACCGAAUAGGGGAGGCGCAGCGAAAGCGAGUUCGAAAUGAGCGUCCAGUCGCAGGGUGUAGACCCGAAACCAGAUGAGCUAUCCAUGGCCAGGUUGAAGGUGUGGUAACACACACUGGAGGACCGAACCGACUAGUGUUGCAAAAUUAGCGGAUGAGCUGUGGAUAGGGGUGAAAGGCCAAACAAAUCUGGAGAUAGCUGGUUCUCCCCGAAAACUAUUGAGGUAGUGCCUCGUGUGUCGCUCCAGGGGGUAGAGCACUGUUUUGGCUAGGGGGACAUGGAGUCUUACCAAACCAAGGCAAACUCCGAAUACCUGGAAGCGUAAGCACGGGAGACAGAGCACCGGGUGCUAACGUCCGGACUCAAAAGGGAAACAACCCAGACCGCCGGCUAAGGUCCCAAAUAACAGCUAAGUGGAAAACGAAGUGGAAAGGCCGUGACAACCAGGAAGUUGGCUUAGAAGCAGCCAUCCUUCAAAGAAAGCGUAAUAGCUCACUGGUCGAGUCCUUCUGCGCGGAAGAUGUAACGGGGCUAAGCUGUUAACCGAAGCCGCGGAUGCACUGGUUAUCCAGUGCGUGGUAGGGGAGCGUUCUGUAAGUCUGCGAAGGCGGUUCGAGAGGACUGCUGGAGAUAUCAGAAGUGCGAAUGCUGACAUGAGUAACGUUAAAGCAGGUGAAAAGCCUGCUCGCCGUAAGCCCAAGGAUUCCUGCUCUACGUUCAUCGGAGCAGGGUGAGUCGGCUCCUAAGGUCAGGCCGAAAGGCGUAGCCGAUGGGAAUCAGGUUAAUAUUCCUGAACCUGCGUCAGAUGCGAUGGGGGGACGGAGCAUGGAAGAUCAUCCGGGUGUUGGAAGUCCCGGUUGUUUAGCGUAGGAGGUCUGCAGGCAAAUCCGCAGACGCAUCUCCAAGGCAAAGACACGUGCCGCCACGGCGGCGAAGUGAUCGGAAGUGCUUCCAAGAAAAGCCUCUAAGCCCCAGUCUGACGCGGACCGUACCGCAAACCGACACUGGUGGGCGAGCUGAAUAUGCUCAGGCGCUUGAGAGAACUCGGGAGAAGGAACUCGGCAAAUUGACACCGUAACUUCGGAAGAAGGUGUGCCGUAGUACCGUGAGAGGAGAGACACCUUGAGCGGGAAACGGUCUCAGAGAAUAGGUGGCUGCGACUGUUUAUUAAAAACACAGCACUCUGCAAAGUCGAAAGACGACGUAUAGGGUGUGAUGCCUGCCCGGUGCUGGAAGAUUAAUUGAUGGGGUGAGAGCCCUUGAUCGAAGUCCCAGUAAACGGCGGCCGUAACUAUAACGGUCCUAAGGUAGCGAAAUUCCUUGUC